UGGCAUUCCCGCUAAAUGAUAGAUACUCUCUGAUGGAUUUGUGGGGUGACCUCCACAACCUGAUGAUAUUAAAGGAAAGAUCUGCUCAGAUGGAGGGCCCUUUAAAGCUGGAGAAAGGAGAGACUACUUAGCCAGAGACGAAGCACCUGUAUUAAAAUGAAUGGGAGAAAUUGGAACACCUGAUAUGGCGGAUAUAGAAAAGGAAGCCCCACCUUACAGGUAAAAGAACCAAUUACCUUUUAGAUACAGACAUAGCUUGAGAAUGUGCAUUAGCUGGACCAGCCUAAAUUUUAUUGUUUUUUUAGCGUGAUCUGAGCAAAAAAAAAAAAAAAAAGCACAAUAUAUGAUACCAUUGUUGUUAGAUUUUACUGCUGAUUUGAAAUAUGUUCUUUGAUCUUAAUCUUGACCAACUGUUUUGGAGAUUUUGUUCUUUACUCUUUCAAGUAGAUACUGUAGGGGCUGUACUUUUAUGCCACUUGUAUCCAUAGAAAAUAGCUGCAUGGGAGAAUUUCCAAGAUGGCGGCGGAGUGGACUGACUUGCCUUAACAGACCUGUGAUCCAUUUUUGGAUCGUGACUCACCAGAGAACCACUCAUCUAAAGGACAGUUUCUUUCCUUUUUGUGUUUUGAUAGUUUUAAUCCCACACCAGUUGUAAAAUUCAAAUCAUGUUGAUUUUCACCUGGCAUACGAUAAAACAUAACAAAUUUAGAACUUACAUUGAA
Long non-coding RNA from Myxocyprinus asiaticus (Chinese sucker), 722 nucleotides. RefSeq lists it as uncharacterized. The record is from RefSeq and is a predicted model, not a curated record. The transcript has 3 exons. NCBI's taxonomy places the organism in Eukaryota, Metazoa, Chordata, Actinopteri, Cypriniformes, Catostomidae.